Molecule: transfer RNA, 67 nt
Filed under: Acnemia nitidicollis
Lineage: Eukaryota; Metazoa; Arthropoda; Insecta; Diptera; Mycetophilidae
Description: tRNA-Leu
Source: RNAcentral
ACUAUUUUGGCAGAAAAUUGUAAUAAAUUUAGAGUUUAUAUAUGUAUAUAAAAUAAUACAAAUAGUA